UUCUCCAUAUUGAGCAACAACAGCUUUGCAUUCCUGACUAACAACUCCAGUUGCUCCAAUGGCAUGGUUCACUUCAGCAAUGAUACCCUGUAUAUUAAAUGCAAAAACAGAAUAAGUCAAACACCAGUGGACACUAACAGUGCUCAUCAAUCACUAAUCAACAUCACCAUCAACUACCCAGAUGAUAAUGCUACCAAAUAUGGUUCAACACAGCAGAAAACCCAAAAGCCAAAAAGGAAUAGGUCCUUGCAAAAGAGGGAACAUCAUUUACCACAGAACAUCAAAUCAAAUGGACAACUACCAGAUCAAAGACAAAAGACCUCACAUGUUGCCAUCAAGUAGAGAACAAAAAAAAUAUACCCUCCGUAAAAUACCCAAUUGGAAGGAAACAGAAGCAAAUAUCCAAUUGGAGAAAGUACAAACAUAAUUCAUUAUGUCCUUGGAACAAUAAUUGGUCUAUUUAGAAGCUUGUUAGUUCCUUCAGCAAAUGGCCUCCCCUUUGUCAUUCAGAAGCAAGCACGGGCAUAGGAAUACAUUAAAUUCUGCUGGGAACUGCUACCUCCCUACUUUUUUCCCAUUAAGAAGAAGAAGUGCAGGAUCAUCUAUAUAUUAGAAAUUCUAAAAGAAUUGGUCAUAUGAGAGUACUCUCAGGUAAAUGGACCCAACAUAUCAAGCACUAUGCAGAGUUAUAAUGUAAAAGAAACAUAAUUGACAACACACCGUGGGACCAGCCAACAAAGAUGUUCCAGAAUCAGCAAUUGCAGCACAGCCACUGCCGCAAAUUCCAGUUGUUUUACCAUCA
This 802-nucleotide unclassified non-coding RNA is filed under the name Hevea brasiliensis (rubber tree). Lineage: Eukaryota; Viridiplantae; Streptophyta; Magnoliopsida; Malpighiales; Euphorbiaceae. The record is from RNAcentral.